Non-coding RNA from Paramormyrops kingsleyae, 1095 nucleotides. The record is from RefSeq and is a predicted model, not a curated record. Lineage: Eukaryota; Metazoa; Chordata; Actinopteri; Osteoglossiformes; Mormyridae.
UGACCAGGAGGAGCAGAUAGAAGAUAGAUGGGUGGAUGGCUGUAGUUUUUUGUGCGUUGCCACAGAUUUGACUAACUUCCCAGUCAGAUACCCAAUCAGACGUCUUUCAUAAUACAUCAUUUGGGACAUAUUGGAAAUCGACAUACAGCCAUAUUCAUGUUACUGUCAUUUAUCAUGUAUAUAUUCAAAGUAUAAAAUGUUGGUUUAUAGUGUCAUGCAAAUAUUUUAGGCAAUUUUCCUGCAUGUAGGGAUGAAUUGUUACUAAAGCUGUCAGACUGGCUGAUGUGUCUGUAGACAGUUUCAAAUCUCAGCAAGUGUUACAGCUGUACUCAGUAAUAACUUAUGCAGUUCAGUCAUAAAUACAUCUUGGUGUGUAAAUUAAAUAAUUAACCUCACCUGUUCACUGUCAGUGAUGAACACUUUGGUCGUAACCUUAAUUGAUUAUUCUGUAUCCAACAAGCUACUCCAAUAUUGUUUUUAGAAUAAUGGGUAACACUUUACUUAAUGGUGCACAAAUAAUACAUGCCAUUGCUUAUGUAUUAAUUAACCAUAAACUAAGUCUUAGUUACAUAUUGAUCUCAUGUUAAUUCAUCAUUAAUGAAUCAUGACAUGCUUUAUCUAAAGCAGUUACUAUAUCUGUUACUACAUCUCUUAAUUCUGUAAACCUUUCUGAACAACUGAAGUAACAAGUAACACAAGUAAAAUACUGAUCUCAUGUUUGUUCACCACUAAUCAAUCGUGAUUCAUCUUUCAUCACAAAUAGCCGCAAUAUUUGUUCAUGAUUUGUGCUUCAGUAGUUACUGAGUUAUUACUAUAUUACUUGUGCGGUUUUAUAAAUGACCUUUUCCUUAUGAGUCUUUCCUGCCUGACAAGACAGAGUUUUUCCUUUUCCCUCCUAAUCAUAAGCCACUGUCCUUACUCCAGGUUCUGCUCCUGGAUCGAGCCCCACAGGAGUGAAUGAUAAGGAACAGAGUAUCCCUGAGACGGCAUCCCAUCUAGGCUCCUUGGUCCAGCUGGCUCUGUAUGUAGGACUGGGCUUAUUGGUGCUGCUGUUGAUCAUCAUCAUCAUCACAUGGAAAGUGUGGGACAAACACA